AGUUAAUAAAGGAAAGGGACAGCUUGGGGGAGGGUGAGUUAGCCGAUUCCUACUGAAAGAAAACAAACCUACAAACAAGAAUUUCCAAGAAACGCAUCUUAAAUGCCGUUAGCAUGGGUAUUUUUUCAAACAGUAGAUAAAUAAUUCAAAGUCCUGGGACUUAGUGCAAAGAGAAGACAGGCUUCCGACAGGCGACAGGUGACUCGAUUUCACCUUUGUGCAGCACAUCGUUCCUUCUCUAACGUAACAAGGUGCUUUAAAACUUACUAGUCAGAUAAGGACCAUAUUGACAUGAAAGUGGACGUCUCCUUGCGUUCUUCUACCAAGUACUUGGCUCAUCUGAGGCACACAACGUUCUCUUUGCUCACGGCACUGCUUUCUCCAGAUCAGCGUCUGAGGCUGCCGAGCUCUCUGAAGAAACUCCGGGGAGAAGCUCAAGCACUACUUUUUAAAACUGGAAACCUGGCCUAUGAAAUCAGUAAGGAAAAGGAGCCAAAUGUGUCCGGUCUCUCUAUCUUCCUCCGCUCACGCCCACCUUCUCCCCUGCAACCCCCCAAUACCAUCACAAAGCAUUCGGGCUGAAAGGUUCAGUGGAACUUGAAAUAACGCUAUCAGACACGAAGCCACGGGUAAACACGCAGAAGGCAGUGGAAACCUUUGAAGCCAGUGAUGCAAAACUAGGCAGACCACAGACCUUCACUUUGGGGGAUGAAGUUCGAGUCAUCUUUCCUGCCUCACCACACAGCUGAUGUCACCCCUAUGUCUAAGAACCUGGAUAGCGACGGUGACAAUACGCUUCCAGAGCCAGCCUUCCCCAUCCUCCUCGGCGAUAAAGCAAAUGUCCUAUGCCAUGUUUGACAGAGGCCAUGCACCUUGCCGUAUGGACAUGGAGGCGCCGCAUUCUUCCAAUGACCCUCUGCAGGACGGACAGGGUCUCCGUAUUAAUAACCUAGAUGAAGUCAUCUGUUCUGGGUGACUGGACCGGGAUCGGACCCUGACCCAGGAGCAGGGAAACGCUCCCUCCUCGCUCUGAAGGGGUGAAGGAAAUGAACAUCUGCCCUUUCCAGGCAAACACUCAGAAUUUGUGAGCACGGACUCACACACUGUAUCCAUUAAAUCGGAGUAAACCGGACAGACGCUCACCUGC
Rattus norvegicus (Norway rat) is the source of this 1147-nucleotide non-coding RNA. The record is from RefSeq and is a predicted model, not a curated record. Lineage: Eukaryota; Metazoa; Chordata; Mammalia; Rodentia; Muridae.